This 507-nucleotide ribosomal RNA is filed under the name uncultured bacterium. RNAcentral describes it as "partial 16S ribosomal RNA". It matches the Rfam family "Bacterial small subunit ribosomal RNA", at positions 30 to 523 of the family's 1533-position model. The record is from RNAcentral.
AUUGAACGCUGGCGGCAGGCCUAACACAUGCAAGUCGAGCGGCAGCGGGAGGAAGCUUGCUUCCUUGCCGGCGAACGGCGGACGGGUGAGUAAGGUAUGGGGAUCUGGCCGAAGGCGAGGGAUAACCACUGGAAACGGUGGCUAAUACCGCAUAAUCUCUAAGGAGCAAAGUGGGGGGGCGUUCAGGCCUCACAGCUGCGGAUGAACCCAUAUGAAAUUAGGUAGUAGGUGGGGUAAUGGCUCACCUAGGCGACGAUCUCUAGCUGGUCUGAGAGGAUGAUCAGCCACACUGGGACUGAGACACGGCCCAUACUCCUACGGGAGGCAGCAGUGGGGAAUAUUGCACAAUGGGCGCAAGCCUGAUGCAGCCAUGCAGCGUGUAUGAAGAAGGCCUUCGGGUUGUAAAGUACUUUCAGUCGUGAGGAAGGUGUUAAGGUUAAUAACCUUAGCAAUUGACGUUAGCGACAGAAGAAGCACCGGCUAACUCCGUGCCAGCCGCCGCCGUAA